RNAcentral lists this non-coding RNA (135 nucleotides) under Desulfitobacterium dichloroeliminans. RNAcentral's name for it is "MoCo sequence". It matches the Rfam family "Molybdenum/Tungsten riboswitch aptamer (Moco RNA motif)". Lineage: Bacteria; Bacillati; Bacillota; Clostridia; Eubacteriales; Desulfitobacteriaceae. RNAcentral also lists the same sequence under 1 other name. The record is from RNAcentral.
AAUAUAUAAUAGCCCGAGCCUAAUAGCCUAAGGGUUUUUCUAUGGUGUUAGGCCGUUUCAGUUUUACUGAAACCGGGGUGUGUUUAGAAAUGAACAUGCCUUCAGUAUACGAAAAGGAGGACAUAUCAAUGCAAA